This 650-nucleotide ribosomal RNA is filed under the name Serratia nevei. RNAcentral's name for it is "partial 23S ribosomal RNA". It matches the Rfam family "Bacterial large subunit ribosomal RNA", at positions 1102 to 1750 of the family's 2925-position model. The record is from RNAcentral. Lineage: Bacteria; Pseudomonadati; Pseudomonadota; Gammaproteobacteria; Enterobacterales; Yersiniaceae.
UGGCUUAGAAGCAGCCAUCAUUUAAAGAAAGCGUAAUAGCUCACUGGUCGAGUCGGCCUGCGCGGAAGAUGUAACGGGGCUAAACCAUGCACCGAAGCUGCGGCAGCGACGCUUAGGCGUUGUUGGGUAGGGGAGCGUUCUGUAAGCCGUUGAAGGUGGCCUGUGAGGGUUGCUGGAGGUAUCAGAAGUGCGAAUGCUGACAUAAGUAACGAUAAAGCGGGUGAAAAGCCCGCUCGCCGGAAGACCAAGGGUUCCUGUCCAACGUUAAUCGGGGCAGGGUGAGUCGACCCCUAAGGCGAGGCUGAAAAGCGUAGUCGAUGGGAAACAGGUUAAUAUUCCUGUACUUGGUGUUACUGCGAAGGGGGGACGGAGAAGGCUAGGCUAGCCGGGCGACGGUUGUCCCGGUUUAAGCGUGUAGGGGGUGUGACCUGGUAAAUCCGGUUGCAUAUCAACCCUGAGGCGUGAUGACGAUGCACUACGGUGCAGAAGUAGUUGAUGCCCUGCUUCCAGGAAAAGCCUCUAAGCUCUAGGUAACAUUGAAUCGUACCCCAAACCGACACAGGUGGUCAGGUAGAGAAUACCAAGGCGCUUGAGAGAACUCGGGUGAAGGAACUAGGCAAAAUGGUGCCGUAACUUCGGGAGAAGGCACG